GUCACGCUUAGAAAAUACCCUGGAGUCGGCGUACACAGCGCAUCUUCGUGUUCUUCACUCUCUUCGGAUCGGAGGACUCGACGAUUCCGAUUCUGUAACGGUAUGAGGUGUGAUUUAUUCGUCUUAAAUCGUAAGCGCAGUACGAAACCUUCGAUUGCCAUUCCCGUAGGGGAAUAAAUAUGAUACAAUCCCUCCGUGAAAUUAUCAGUUCUCAUCGUUCUCAUAUGUUUGACGAUGUUGUUGUUAUUACGAUUAGGGAUGUUCAUUGUUGAUCGAAGCUUAAAGAAGUUUGUUCAUUUUUAAUCUCAACACUUUCCUCUGUUAUGUUCAGUGUGGUGGUGGCGGAAUGGUCGGUGUUGGUGGAACUACUUCCUCCUCCGCCGCCGGGUACGCUUCUCCAAACGACGCCGUUGGCUACUACCUCAAGUCCCGCGGCUUCAACAGCCUCUUCUCUCAGAUCUGAGUUCCUUUUUUAUUACCUUCUUCUUCUUUUUUGAAACCAAGAUUUGAAUUCUCAAACUUCCAUUGUUUUGUUUCUUCGCUUGCUCGCAGUUAUCGUUCUCUGUUUCCAAUUUACGAGACCGCGACUUGAUGUCAAAGAGCGAUGAAAUGGUUGUUGUGUAUACUAAAAAAGAAAGAGAUGGAACACUUUCUGAACUCUUCCGCAGUGAAGUUGUUUUGAAUUCUCUGAAUCAUAAAUGGAUAAAGCUCACACUCUCUUAUCAGUUCGAGAUUUUCCAGACAUUGCUGUUUCGUGUGUAUGAUAUUGACACUCAGUUUUAAAACUUAAGGGAUGAGAUACUUAAGCUCGAUGAGCAGCAGUUCCUCGGCGAGGCAACAUGUACAUUGUCUGAGGUGCAACUACAAAAUGCUUCUUAACCUUCUCAUUGAAGUGACUUUACAUGUUAUAUACAGGCUCAUCGAUCUCUUAUAAUUUGCUUGGACCCUCACAAACAGAGGUUCAAGUCUUUAUGUAUAUUCCUAGAAUUGUUAGAUCUCAACUGCAUUAUCAGCUGCGAGGGAAUGGCAAAACGGUCAAGUAACACUCCCACAAAAACAGAGGACUGUAUCUGUGCCACCGGUAAGUUUAUAUAACGUUACCGUGAUGAGAUCUGAUGCCUCUUGGAAGGAGAACCGCAAUAUUGCAGGUUUGGGAUGGGUCAUCUACAGAGAAUAUGGACCGAUGAAGUUCUCAGUAGUGGAAGAGCAUGUCUCCACGUCUUUGAUGGCAGAGAGUAUAGCAAUGAGAGGAGCACUCGCCAACUGCAAGGAAUUCGCCGUGUCAGAUGUGAAGCAGACCCUAAACAGCUUAUUGCAUGCAUCAUGAAGGAAUAACCAGUUCCAGAGGUUUAUGGAAUUGCAUCAGAUAUUGUAGUUUAAGCUUCAGAUUUGAGGCCAUCUCUUUUGGAUGGAUCUCCCGUUUGGAAAAUUUUGUUGCAGACUGUUUUGCUUGACAAGGCAUUGUAGUAAAUGAAGAUGUUAAUUCUCUCA
This is an RNA transcript of Raphanus sativus (radish), 1491 nucleotides long. RefSeq lists it as uncharacterized. NCBI's taxonomy places the organism in Eukaryota, Viridiplantae, Streptophyta, Magnoliopsida, Brassicales, Brassicaceae. The transcript has 6 exons. The record is from RefSeq and is a predicted model, not a curated record.